CUGUAGCGUAAUGGAUAGCGGUUUGGACCUCUAAUCCAAAGGUCGUGGUUUCAAAAUCCACUUGAAAUGG
Trichonephila clavipes is the source of this 70-nucleotide non-coding RNA. NCBI's taxonomy places the organism in Eukaryota, Metazoa, Arthropoda, Arachnida, Araneae, Nephilidae. The record is from the annotation of a GenBank genome assembly.